ACACAUGUUAAUAAUCUUUUAAAAAAUACUUAAAAUAUUUCUUGACCAAUUUCUCUUUCCUCGUGUGUUUCUCUUUCACAAGAAAACCAGAGGCACCGCCGUACUUCCAUUUUUCUCUUUCUUUCAAGACCCACUUUUUUUUAUCAUCUUUGUUCUUCUUUACCACUAUUUUUACCUACCCUAAAACUUUAUCACCAUUUUUUGGUUUUUAAGUUGUAUUUGUUUUGUUUGCUAUUGAAACACCAUUUUUACUGAUGGGUGUUGCCACUGUAAUAGUGGUCGGAAAAUGGAGGUCGCCAUCGUUUGCAUCUUUUAACGAGACCAAAUCUGAACGAAGAACCACCAACUUGCCGGAAAGAUCUGAGAGCCUUACCCAGUCGGAGAAGAUUGACCUCGUCGGCCAUAAUCUAACAAUGAAAGUAACGACCUAGAGGUCUCUGCAUUGCUUGAGGUUGUCGCCGGCAGACGAGUAAUAUCUGAGAUCUGCUUCAAGGAGGUAAAAGGGGGAGGAGAUGGCUGACGGGAGGCAUGGGAGAGAAAACGGAGCUGUGGUUGUCGCCGGAUUCCCAGGACGGCAAGGGCUCCAAAUAGGGAAGAAGGCCUGGAUAUUUUUUCUUUUCUUUUAACUAAUAAUUUAGAAAACAUUAAGGAGAAUAAAUAAGAUUUAGGAACGUGUGGUUGUAUAAGGAUUUGGACAGAUAAUGCAUAUGUUUCACGCGCCCAGUUUUUUUGUUAAGCACAUCUGCCAUAAUUAGUGUGUAUUAGAUAUAAUUUUAAAAAGUUGCGUGUCAUAUAAUAUUCAUUCUCAAAAAAUGUAUAACAAUGAUUUGAUAUAUAGGUCAGGGCUACUUAUACAUUUUGCGAUUUUUUUUUAAUAUGCUAAUGUUGUAAAAAGAAAUCUGCUAUACAUGAAAUAAGC
Molecule: long non-coding RNA, 919 nt
Filed under: Nicotiana benthamiana
Lineage: Eukaryota; Viridiplantae; Streptophyta; Magnoliopsida; Solanales; Solanaceae
Description: long non-coding RNA (NBEN_LNC009570)
Source: RNAcentral